AUAUCAAUAAGGCGAGGAACAGAAACCAACAGGGAUUGCCCUAGUAACGGCGAGUGAAGCGGCAACAGCUCAAAUUUGAAAUCUGGCCCUAGGCCCGAGUUGUAAUUUGUAGAGGAUGCUUUUGGUGCGGUACUUUCCGAGUUCCCUGGAACGGGACGCCUUAGAGGGUGAGAGCCCCGUACGGUUGGAUACCUAGCCUCUGUAAAGCUCCUUCGACGAGUCGAGUUGUUUGGGGAUGCAGCUCAAAAUGGGUGGUAUAUUUCAUCUAAAGCUAAAUAUUGGCCAGAGACCGAUAGCGCUCAAGUA
This 306-nucleotide ribosomal RNA is filed under the name uncultured Metarhizium. RNAcentral describes it as "partial large subunit ribosomal RNA". It matches the Rfam family "Eukaryotic large subunit ribosomal RNA", at positions 40 to 350 of the family's 3401-position model. The record is from RNAcentral. Lineage: Eukaryota; Fungi; Ascomycota; Sordariomycetes; Hypocreales; Clavicipitaceae.